UGGGGAAUAUUUCACAAUGGGCGAAAGCCUGAUGCAGCGACGCCGCGUGAGGGAUGACGGCCUUCGGGUUGUAAACCUCUUUCAGCAGGGACGAAGCGCAAGUUACGGUACCUGCAGAAUAAGCACCGGCUAACUACGUGCCAGCAGCCGCGGUAAUACGUAGGGUGCAAGCGUUGUCCGGAAUUACUGGACGUAAAGAGUUCGUAGGCGGUUUGUCGCGUCGUUUGUGAAAACCAGCAGCUCAACUGCUGGCUUGCAGGCGAUAUGGGCAGACUUGAGUAGGGCAGGGGAGACUGAAAUUCCUGGUGGAGCGGUGAAAGGCGGAGAGAUCAGGAGAAACACCGGGGGCGAAGGCGGGUCUGUGGGCAGUAACAAACGAAAAGGAACGAAAGCGUGGGUAGCGAACAGG
This 409-nucleotide ribosomal RNA is filed under the name Bacillota bacterium. Its description in RNAcentral is "Firmicutes bacterium partial 16S ribosomal RNA". It matches the Rfam family "Bacterial small subunit ribosomal RNA", at positions 355 to 776 of the family's 1533-position model. The record is from RNAcentral. Lineage: Bacteria; Bacillati; Bacillota.